RNAcentral lists this long non-coding RNA (1536 nucleotides) under Homo sapiens (human). RNAcentral describes it as "HSALNT0168301". The record is from RNAcentral. Lineage: Eukaryota; Metazoa; Chordata; Mammalia; Primates; Hominidae.
UCUUGCUCUGUUGCCUACGCUGGAGUGCAGUGGCGUGAUUUCGGCUCACUACAACCUUCGCCUCCUGGGUUCAAGCGAUUCUCCUGCCUCAGCCUCCAGGAGAGCUCGGAUUACAGGUGCCCAUCACCACUCCCGGCUAAUUUUUGUAUUUUUAGUAGAGAUAGGGUUUCACCAUGUUGGCCAGGCUGGUCUCGAACUCCUGACCUCAGGUGAUCUGCCCGCCUCUGCCUCCCAAAGUGCUGGGAUUACAGGCAUAAGCCACCAUUACCCCGCCCAUUUAAAGUAUUCUUUUCAGGCUGGGCACUGUGGCUUAUACCUGUAAUCCCAGCAUGCUUUGGGAGACUAAGGUGAGAAGAUUGCUUCAGCCCAGGAGAUCAAGGUUACAGUGAGUUAUGAUCUGGACAACAGAGCCAGACCCUGUCUCUAAAUAAAUAAAUAAAUAAAUACUUUCCUAUAUCUGAGUCUAUUCUUUAGUUGCUCAAUGAACACAUUAAAGCUGAGCUUCUCAGCUUUGGCACUGUUGAUGUUUUUGAUAAUUCUUUGGGAGGGUGAGGGGUUGCCCUAGCAGCAUCCCUGCCCUGUGCCCAUGAGAUGAUGACAGAAGUACCCCCUGCCCAGCUGUUACAACCAACACUGUAUCCAGAUGUCUCCUGGGGAACAAAAUUGCCCCAGCUGAAAACUACUGAGGUAAAGGCAACUGGUAUGAAAAUCUGCCUAUGGCGUGGAGGCCCCAGCUUUAAAGUUUAUUUGGAUCACUGUAGUAGUCAGUAGCAACAUUAAAACCAUCCCAUUCAAAUCCAAAUACUCAACCGAGAUCAGGAAACCCAGCAAAAUAUGGUGCUGGUGUCAAUGUGUGAUGAGCCCCGCAGUGAUGAGUGUGCAGCCGUCAGCAGUGUGCCAAGGUCCCGCACAGUCCGACAACUCUUUUAAAUGUCCCUAAUAUUUAUAAAUGUAUGAAGUGACAGGAUUGACAUUAGCAAGAUUAAUAUGUUGCUAAUUGACAUUAGCAAGAUAUGGAAGGAGGGGUUCCCAUAUGUGUUUACGUCUUGUUAAAAUCACACAGCUUUAGUAAUCUGCUAAUCAUAAUAGCCCAGUCACUCAAGAAAACUCUAACCACCCCCUUUUUGGACAACGGGAAGAGGGGUGUGGGCUGGUGGUAGCAAACUGGCAAAACAAUGAUAUUUUUAUCUCUGAUCUCUUUAAAGAAAUAAUCCAAAUACAAAAUAAUAAAGAGUCCAUCUAAUUCACAAAUCCAGAAUGUUCUGCAUAAAGUAAGUCCAAGUAUCUAAAAGAUCCAAGAUGACGUCUGUGCUCCAGGAAGAAAGGUGCCAGCUUCAACACCCUGGCUGACCUUUGGUGUGUUAGUCAGCCUGCGACCGCCCCAGAAACCACCCAGAGGUGACCAGCUACAGCCAGCUCACCAGCGGCCGACACCAGAGUCAACAGCAGCACCGGAUGUGGAAUGGACAAACCCCAGACCCAGCACACGACCCUGGUGCCUCUCUUACAGAGCAGAGAAAUGCUAUAACGUAUCAU